AGCUUUGCGCAGUGGCAGUAUCGUAGCCUAUGAGGUUUAUCCGAGGCGCGAUUAUUGCUAGUUGAAAACUUUACCCAAUACCCCGCCUAGACGACUUGAAAUAUAGUCGGCGACGGCAAUUUUUGACGGUCUCUAAGGAGA
Dicentrarchus labrax (European seabass) is the source of this 141-nucleotide small nuclear RNA. Its record names the gene U4. It matches the Rfam family "U4 spliceosomal RNA". From Rfam's summary of the family: U4 small nuclear RNA (U4 snRNA) is a component of the major U2-dependent spliceosome. The structure of U4 snRNA from yeast and human has been reported. U4 snRNA presents a k-turn RNA motif in the 5p-SL related to recognition of Snu13 protein. The record is from Ensembl. Lineage: Eukaryota; Metazoa; Chordata; Actinopteri; Moronidae.